This 324-nucleotide ribosomal RNA is filed under the name uncultured bacterium. Its description in RNAcentral is "bacterial SSU rRNA". It matches the Rfam family "Bacterial small subunit ribosomal RNA", at positions 28 to 334 of the family's 1533-position model. The record is from RNAcentral.
GACGAACGCUGGCGGCGUGCCUAACACAUGCAAGUCGAACGGACAUUUUUUGGAAAGCUCUUCGGAACUGGAAUCUAAAUGUUAGUGGCGGACGGGUGAGUAACGCGUGAGCAAUCUGCCUUUCAGAGGGGGAUAACAGCCGGAAACGGCUGCCAAUACCGCAUAAUGCAUCGGAUUCGCAUGUUUCUGAUGCCAAAGAUUUUAUCGCUGAAAGAUGAGCUCGCGUCUGAUUAGCUAGUUGGCGGGGUAACGGCCCACCAAGGCGACGAUCAGUAGCCGGCCUGAGAGGGUGAACGGCCACAAGGGGACUGAGACACGGCCCUU